Molecule: long non-coding RNA, 359 nt
Organism: Macrobrachium nipponense
Lineage: Eukaryota; Metazoa; Arthropoda; Malacostraca; Decapoda; Palaemonidae
Exons: 3
Source: RefSeq, a predicted model, not a curated record
AGAGUGAAUAAAACCAGAAAAUGAAAAUCGAGUGGCCAGGUUGGCAUUGCUUUCUGCUCAUAGCUCUAAGUACAAGUUCAGUUUUGACAGCACAGUUUGGUGAGACUAGAGAUGGUACUAACGAAAUCACACCGGUUGUGUUAUCGAUUGCUUACCUCUGGCGUAACUGCUCCUAUCUCCUCUUCACUGACGGCGAGACCUCGGGCUAUGGAGCCCUGGCCAAGGACAUGGCCAAGUCACUGGAGUUCCAAGGGACAGCCCUAUUCGACAACUCUGCCGAAGGAACCAGCGACAAUUUCACCGUCAGCGACAGAAUGACAAGUGUCGCCAGAGAGGUGAGUUUCUCUCUCUCUCUCUCU